Molecule: ribosomal RNA, 798 nt
Filed under: uncultured Bacillota bacterium
Lineage: Bacteria; Bacillati; Bacillota
Description: bacterial SSU rRNA
Rfam family: Bacterial small subunit ribosomal RNA
Source: RNAcentral
AAAGUGGAGCAAUCCAUGAGUACAGUGGCGUACGGGUGAGUAACACGUGGAUCAUCUACCUUUUAGUGGGGAAUACCCCCGGGAAACUGGGGAUAAUACCGCAUAAUCUCGUGAGAGGAAAGCAGCAAUGCGCUGAAAGAGGAGUCCGCGGCUGAUUAGCUAGUUGGUGAGGUAAUGGCUCACCAAGGCGAAGAUCGGUAGCCGGCCUGAGAGGGCACACGGCCACACUGGCACUGAAACACGGGCCAGACUCCUACGGGAGGCAGCAGUGGGGAAUCUUGCACAAUGGAGGAAACUCUGAUGCAGCGACGCCGCGUGAGCGAUGAAGCCCUUCGGGGUGUAAAGCUCUUUCGACGGGAACGAUAAUGACGGUACCCGAAGAAGAAGCUGCGGCUAACUACGUGCCAGCAGCCGCGGUAAUACGUAGGCAGCAAGCGUUGUUCGGAAUUACUGGGCGUAAAGAGUGUGUAGGCGGUGCUCUAAGUCUGUUGUGAAAUCUCCCGGCUUAACCGGGAGGGUGCGGCGGAAACUGGAGUGCUUGAGGGUGGGAGAGGUAAGCGGAAUUCCUGGUGUAGCGGUGAAAUGCGUAGAUAUCAGGAGGAACACCUGUGGUGUAGACAGCUUACUGGACCACUUCUGACGCUGAGACACGAAAGCGUGGGUAGCAAACAGGAUUAGAUACCCUGGUAGUCCACGCCCUAAACGAUGCAUACUUGGUGUGAGCGAUUCAUUUCGUUCGUGCCGGAGCUAACGCGUUAAGUAUGCCGCCUGGGGAGUACGGUCGCAAGGCUGAAACUC